UACGUAGGGGGCAAGCGUUGUCCGGAUUUAUUGGGCGUAAAGAGCGUGUAGGCGGCCAGACAGGUCCGUUGUGAAAACUCGAGGCUCAACCUCGAGACGUCGACGGAAACCGUCUGGCUAGAGUCCGGAAGAGGAGUGUGGAAAUCCUGGUGUAGCGGUGAAAUGCGCAGAUAUCAGGAAGAACACCUAUGGCGAAGGCAGCACUCUGGGCCACUACUGACGCUGAGAAGCGAAAGCAUGGGGAGCGAACAGG
Molecule: ribosomal RNA, 253 nt
Filed under: uncultured bacterium
Lineage: Bacteria
Description: partial 16S ribosomal RNA
Rfam family: Bacterial small subunit ribosomal RNA
Source: RNAcentral